This is a long non-coding RNA of Chinchilla lanigera (long-tailed chinchilla), 3128 nucleotides long. RefSeq lists it as uncharacterized. The transcript is spliced from 6 exons. The record is from RefSeq and is a predicted model, not a curated record. NCBI's taxonomy places the organism in Eukaryota, Metazoa, Chordata, Mammalia, Rodentia, Chinchillidae.
AGGAGUGGAUUGUGGGCUGUGACCCUGGGGCUGUAUCUGGGCCUCCACCCCUUCCUCUCCUGUUCUUUCCCUCUCUCUCUGCUCCAUGGCCACUGUGAGGGGAGCAGCUUUCUCCACUGCACCCUUCUGCCGUGAGGUUUCUGCUUCACCACAGGGCCAUUGCAGCGGAGCCUGCUGACUCUGGACUGAAACCUUCAAAACCUUGGACUUAAUCCUGCACCUGUGUUGAAGACUGUAGAACCCAGGAGAAUGGUGAUCUGAGCAAGAGAAGAUCUGAAGUUUCAGUGCUCGUACCAUGUGAUGCUACCAUGAGGAGGCCCUCACUAGAACUGAGCAGAGGCUCACAACAUGCUCUAGGACUUUUAGGACUCUGCCAUUAACUGUUGCCCUCUCACACCACUCUGCCUUGGAGCCAGCUGAUUAUCGACUGAAACCUCCACAAACGGCAGGUGGGUUUUAUGAAGAGCACAUUUCCUACAGACAGCAGGCCUGCUUCCCUUCCUCAUGGGAGGCCCAGAAGGAUUUCUCCAGAAGGAAGAAGCAGAGCACAUGCUCUGGGAAGCUCAACUUUCUCUCUGCUUGUGCAGAUGUGCACAUGUGUCCAGACCCCUCCACCUCUCCACAGGAGGCCCAAACCUGGAAGUGAGGACAUGGCUUACUGAAGGAUCAUUGUGUGCUGGGUGCCUGCACUUCUGCAGGAGAGGGUGCAGGGGACUCUGUGACCAGAAAGGUGAAUGGUGAAACACAUGAUGUUAUCUGCCUACCAUGGACCAGGACCCAACUCUAAGUGGGCAGAAUCAUAGAGACACCAACACAGAUGAAUCUCAAAAACAUUAAGCUGAAUGAAAGAAGUGACUCAUAAAUGGCUACACACUGUAUGAUCCUAUCUCUGUGACGUUCUGGAAGAGGCAAAAGUUGAGAGACAGAGCUCAGAUUCGUGGUUUCCAAAGACUGAGUGUGGAGGACUUAGAGGGGAAUCGCUACAAAAGUAGCAAGGGAACUUCCGGUGAACUGAAAACACUCUCUGUUGACUGUGGUGAUGGUGUGUAACUGUACGCAUAGGCCAACACUUAGAAAACUACACACCUCCAAUGGGUGGGCAUUACUGGGUGUAAAUUAUACCACCAAAAAUGUGACUUCAAGAACUUUAAAGUAGAAGUCCAGAAACUGGCCAGAGUUCCAUUUUCUGUCAGGGACUGUUUUUCCAAAAAGGCGGUAAUUGAGACAAGGGCCAAGCUGGGUUGAAGGAGCCAGCUGUGUGUCACCUGGGAAGGACAACUGGGGACUUGAGAAACACGUGGGAGGCCAGGGCUGUGUGGUCCAACUUUAUAGCUCAUUCCAAGCAAGAGGGGAAACACAGAAACACACGGAGUGAGGGAGUGACAAGACUGUUUUGGAUGAUUUCUGGUUUUCAGGAGUCUCUCUGCCUGUGGUGUACAGAAUAGCCUCGACGGGCUAAGAGUAGAAAUACAGACCCAAGUGGAGAGGUGAGGUUUAGGAAUGAGGACGGGUGGAGAAGCUGAGAAAGAGGAGAAAGAUGAGAACAGGAAGACACAUGCCCUGUCAGAAGCGCCCUUUAAUCUACACUCUCUUAAUGCUCCACCUCGUCGUUGAGGGCUCCCUCUUGCCCUCAUAGAACAUUCUCGUCUGUCUUUCCUAGAGCACAGGGAGAGAGAACCCAUGUGACUUCCUUAGGCAGCAGACAGAACUGAUGCUCCGAAGAACAGGGGUUUCCCCUCAUCUCCUUUAAAUUAUUUGUCCCUCUGAGGUCCAGACUUACUUUCAGGGAGGUCUGCCUGCUGCCAAGUGGAAGAAGGAGGAAUCUGGCCUCUGCAGGAGAAUUAAUGCAGGGGAGACUAAAAGGCAAAGAGACAAAUCUCAUUGCCUAGAUAAACAGGUUCCAGCAUCCCGAUUACCAAGAUCCUAACUCUGUCUGACUCAGCACACAGUUUUAGAAAUUUUGCUCUCUUGCUCACUUAGUCCCCAGAUGGAGCAUAUGCCGUGCUUGGAUUGCAAUGUGAAAAGUGUUUCCACAGCAGAAAUUGAUCUCCUGUGUGUUGAGAUUUAUAGGGAGAAAGAUUUUAGAGGGAUUAAAGCUGUUUAUACCCAACUGACAUGGACAUGUUACAAUGGAAGACAGAACCCUGAGGAUGAAACUUGGCUUCUACAUUGAAAAGAGAGUUAUAGCUCAUUUAGAACCACUUUAAGGUACGUUCAUUAGUCUAAAAAUAGUGUGUCACUCGCAGGAACAGCAUGUAAGGAGGUUUUCAAUUGCAAAGGAAGCAUUGGCAGUUGGAGUUUAUUAUCACACCUGUCACAAGAAUUGGGGGUCCACAUUUGCUGACUCCUCAGCAGUUUGUUGACAUUGGUCAUGCCUAUUUACUGAGACUCUCUGAGAUUUUGCCUCAUGGUCACAAGAUGGAUGCGAGCAUCCUGAUUACUGUAUCUUCACAUCACAAGGUCCAAAAACAUGAAGUAGGGACUAGAAGAUGUAGCUCAGAGGUAGAACUUUUUUUAACACUCAUGAGGCCCUGGGUUCAAUCCCCAGCAUGGCCAAAAAACAAACAAAACAAAAAUAAAACCCCAUACAAAGUAUGAGUGGGCCUGUCUGUGUGUGCCUAUUUUUUUUUUUUUUAUCAGUUUUCUUUCUCGUUGAGGGCUCACUCUUGCCAAAAUCCCAAACGAUUUUCCCUUUCAUGUCAGUGGAUGAAACUAGGUUCUAUACCCACUUCUAAACUAACCUUCGUAGAUCUUGAUUCAUAUCCACGAGGCUGGGAACAUCUUCCCUGAGCAUUGCUGCUCAGUAGUUGAGCAAACCCAAAGCUGAGUAUAGCAACCUACCAUAGUUUAUACUUCCUGAGUAAGUACAUUGUGAACUAGGUUCCUGCUCUGAGCUUUGCAUACACUGUCUAAUCUUUAUAAUAGUGUGGGAAUUGGGAAUCUACAAAUUGCAAUUGAAAAAGUUGGGGUUUGGAAAUGCAAAACAAUUUUUGUCCUCCAUCUCGCAGGAGUUAGCUAAUGUAUUCAAAUCUUUUUCCAGGUAACUCUGAUCUUGAGCUGUUAACAUCCUAUGGCAAAAAUGUAUAAUGUGGCAUAACAUAGGGUGUGUGUGUGUGUGUGUGUGUGUG